GAUGAAGAACGUAGCGAAACGCGAUAAGUAGUGUGAAUUGCAGAAUUCAGUGAAUCAUCGAAUCUUUGAACGCACAUUGCGCCCCUUGGUAUUCCAUGGGGCAUGCCUGUUCGAGCGUCAUUUGUACCUUCAAGCUCUGCUUGGUGUUGGGUGUUUGUCUCGCCUCUGCGUGUAGACUCGCCUCAAAACAAUUGGCAGCCGGCGUAUUGAUUUCGGAGCGCAGUACAUCUCGCGCUUUGCACUCAUAACGACGACGUCCAAAAGUACAUUUUUACACUCUUGACCUCGGAUCAGGUAGGGAUACCCGCUGAACUUAAGCAUAUCAAUAAGCGGAGGA
This 337-nucleotide unclassified non-coding RNA is filed under the name soil metagenome. Its description in RNAcentral is "partial contains 5.8S ribosomal RNA, internal transcribed spacer 2, and large subunit ribosomal RNA". The stretch from base 1 to 120 matches the Rfam family "5.8S ribosomal RNA", at positions 35 to 154 of the family's 154-position model. The record is from RNAcentral.